AACCACUUCGGUGGUCAUCCGUAAAAAUUGGAACGAUACAGAGAAGAUUAGCAUGGCCCCUGCGCAAGGAUGACACGCAUAAAUCGAGAAGUAUCUCACUUUGUG
Molecule: small nuclear RNA, 105 nt
Filed under: Phytophthora infestans T30-4
Lineage: Eukaryota; Oomycota; Peronosporomycetes; Peronosporales; Peronosporaceae
Source: RNAcentral